GAGGGUAUAGCUCAGUGGUAGAGCAUGUGCUUAGCAUGCACGAAGUCCUGGGUUCAAUCCCCAGCACUGCUG
RNAcentral lists this transfer RNA (72 nucleotides) under Camelus bactrianus (Bactrian camel). It matches the Rfam family "tRNA". Rfam says of the family: Transfer RNA (tRNA) molecules are approximately 80 nucleotides in length. Their secondary structure includes four short double-helical elements and three loops (D, anti-codon, and T loops). Lineage: Eukaryota; Metazoa; Chordata; Mammalia; Artiodactyla; Camelidae. The record is from Rfam by way of RNAcentral. RNAcentral also lists the same sequence under 1 other name.